Molecule: long non-coding RNA, 8979 nt
Filed under: Olea europaea (common olive)
Lineage: Eukaryota; Viridiplantae; Streptophyta; Magnoliopsida; Lamiales; Oleaceae
Description: long non-coding RNA (OEUR_LNC004864)
Source: RNAcentral
GAGUUUUAUUUCUAUCAGAAUUUAUACAAAACUUCUAUUUGAUGCAAAGGGAUUUCCAGAAAAAACUGAUUUUUCAAACUGGGAAUGAAUUUUUGAGUAACUAUUGCUUACAACUCAGGAUUUCAAGAUAAAAUGAUAUGAUAUUUCUCUAUGGCAAUGUCUCUAUUUAUACAAGUUUAUGAGACUCUAUUAUAUCAUUGAGUACAUCAACAAGGCACACUUCCCUCUCUAUUAUUUUUUUCUUUGGGCCUACAUCUUCACAUGUUGCUUCAACUUUUUAUCCAAAGAGCAACUUUUUCUAUUAUUGCUCUUUAUCUUCAAUGUCUUCACAUACAGUUGUAUUAUUGUUCCUCAUUCACCUUUGACAAAUGUGAUCUAUUAUUGUCCUCUUCCUUCAUUUCUUCACAUGCAGUUGGGGCACUUCCUUAGCUGGCAAGAUUCUUUUAUAGUGGUAGGACAUCCUGAAAAUUGAUGUAUAUCAAAUCUUGUAAUAUAGUCUUUUAAAAUUUCUGAUUUUGCAUAUCCUCCAUUGGAUACCAAAAUCCAGUUUUCAUAUAGGCACAAGCAUGAGAAUUUUUUAUCAAACAAAUUUUUGGCAAUGUUGUAGAUGUCUUUAAUUUCAAGUGCUUUUCUAUGUCUGAUCCAUGAUUUUGUCACUGUUGGAAUUUUUUUAUUAUUUUCUGUAACAUCAAUUUGGAAAUUGGCUGCAACAUAUCCAAUUGAGAUUAUGUGUUUAAUUGGAUAGUAAACAACUCUAUUAUAUUCUGGACUAAUUGAAUAUAAUUUUAAAAAUAUUUUUCUUCCCUUGGCAAAUCUGGAUACUUCUUUAAUAAAUAUGUUAUCAAACUUUGAAACUUUAAUAAAAUCUUUUCCUGGAUAUACCAGAUCCAUGUAUCCAUAAUCUGCCAUAAUUUUCAUAAAUGAAGGGUCUCCUCCUUCCAUGACUGUUAUUCUGGGAUAAACAUUAUUUCCCAGAAAAAAGAAAUAUGAAUAACUCAUUUUUAUUUCAUAAGCGAUUUUGACUAUUUCAGCAUAUUUUUCUUCUUUUGGAUCUAAAUGGAUUUUAUCUUCUUGAUCUAUGAUGCUGAUUAUUUUGGUAUCUCUUUUUAUAUCCAUGUAUCAUAACUUUUUUGAUUGAUGAUACAGAAAUGGAAUCUCUUUUAUUAUUAGUUGGUAUGUUGUCACGUCUAGGUUCACUGUUGCUUCCAGCUGUCCAUGUUUGGUAUUGAUUUGGAAAACUCAUUUCUGAGCUCUUUGAUAUAUCUGUCUCAUACAGUAUAUCUUUUAGUUGUACUGCAAUAGCAUCAACUUGAUUUUUGAAUUCUAUGACAUAUUUUUUAUGCUCAGUGGUGAUAUUCAACAAUAUUUUUAUAUUUGAGUUGAACAUCUCUAAGAUUUGGAUUGCUCCAGAGUUUAUAUCUUCGAAUUCUUCUUUAAGAAAAUUCGUCCUUUUUUGUAUGUGUAGGAUAGAUUUGUAUAAUUCCAUGACCUUGGCUUUAUCCAUCAGCAAAUUCUAUGUUUCUGUUGAGAAAAUCUGUAAGAAAAUUAUUAACUCCUUUAAUAUGGACUAUAUCAAAAUUAUAAAAUGUUAAAUAAGCUUGCCAUCUAUGAAGCCUUCUGUAUUGAGGUUCUGACGGUAACUUAUUCCUAACUAAUCUUGCAACUUGAGAAUUAUCAGUUUCAACAAUAAAUUUCUUGGAUAAUAAAAACAAUUAGAACUUUUUUAUUCCUCUAAUAAUUGCUAGUAAUUCUUUUUCAUGAGUAGUAUAAUUUAUUUCUACUUGGUUAAAGGUUCCACUUGAGUAUUUACAAAUUUCAUUAAGAUCUGUUUUUAAUAUUACUGCCCAAUAUUUAUCUGAGGCAUCAGUAUUAAUAUCAAAUUAUCUUUUUCAUCUAGUAAUUUUAAUUUUGGUAAAUUUUUGCAUUCUUCCUCUAAUGAUUUAACUAUUUCUGUAUGUUCUUCAUUCCAUCCCUUAGUAUUUAUUUUUUUAAGUAAAACUUAGAUUUUAUGUCUUUUCUUAGAAAGAUUUUCAAUAAAUCCUUCUGCAUAAUUUAAAUAUCCUAAUAAUUUUUGUAUUUGUUCUUUGGAUUCUAAUUUAUUUGGAAAACUUUCUAUCUUUUUGGAUAUAUGAGUCUGUAAUUUUAUUCCUCUUUUAUCUAUUGAUAAUUCAAGAAAGUCUAUUUCUUGUUUUUCUUUUUAGAUAGUACAAUUUCUUCUUUUUUACAUUCUCUAAUGAAAUGGAUUAAAUGAUUUCUAUAUUCUUAUUUACUAUUAGAACAUAUUAAUAUAUCAUCUAUGUAAACAAUUAGAAUUUCAUUAAAUUUUUUAAAUAUAAUAUCUAUUUUUCUUUGAUAUAUUUGUGGUGCAUUUUUUAGAUCAAAUGAUAUAACUAACCAUUCAUAUUUUUUCUUGAGGGAUUCUAAAUGCAGUAUAUUGUAUACUAUCUUCUUCUAUUUUUAUUUGCCAAAAUCUUGAUUUACAAUCAAAUUUAGAAUAAUAUUGUUUUCCUCUUGCAAGAUUUAUUAAUACUUCUUUAUUUGGUAAAAAGUAACCAUCAAAUUUAGUAUAUUUGUUUAAUUUUUUUUAUAAUUUAUGACCAUUCUAACUUUUCUUCUGAUUUGUUCAGAAUGUUUCAUAACCAUAAAUGCAGGACUACUAUGAGAUUCAUUACUAGGUCUAAUAAGUUUUUAUUCUAACAAUUCUUUUAUCUGAUUUUUAAAUUCUUGUGUAUCUUCUAUAGUAUACAUUAUUGGUCUAACUCUUGUUAUAACAUUUUCUGUUAAUUCUAUUUUAGCUUUUGGAUGAUGUGGUUUUCAAAAUAAUAAUGGAUUUUCUCCAUAAACAUUUUCUAGUUGUUCAAUAAUUUUUUCUAUAUUUAUUUCUAUUCCUGUUUUUAGAAUUUUUUUUAUAUAAUAUCCUUUUAUUUUUUUAUUUCACUAAAUAUAAUUUGUUUUUUCUCCCAUUUAUCACCACGCUGGGCUGGUUAAACUCUAUAAGAUUUAAAUUCUCUAGAAAUUUUUAAUAAGUGUCCAUAAGAUGUUUGUAGCAUUAUUAUGUAAUUAUUUUUUUUAUAAUAUUGAAAUUGUUGUAUGAAAUCAUUUCCUAAUAAUAUCACAUUUUAGUUUAUCAUAUUUAUAAAUUUUAUUUAUUGUUACUUGUUUAUUUCCAAGAAUUAUAUUAACUUUAUUGGCACUAUUAAUUAUUUGAGUACUUUCUCCUGUAACUCCAGUUAUUUUUAUAUUACUAUUAUUAUUCCAUGAUUUUAUUAAAAAAAAUUAAAUAUUGUUAUAUCACCUUCUGUAUCUAUUAAAGCACAAAUUGUUAUAAUUGUUUUUUCAAUAGUAAUUUGUAUAUACACAACUAAUGGAAAACUUAUCUGAUUAUUCAUCUAAUUCUUUUUACAUAAUGUAGUUUGUUCAUUAUGAACAAUAUAUAAUCCUUCUCUUUUUAUGCUAUAAUCUUCUAAAUCAUUUAGAAAACUCAUUCCUAAAAGUAUAUGGGGAUUUAUAUCCAUACUUUUAGCUAUGUAACAUGGUACUAAAAGAUUUAUUCCUCUUAUUUUUAUUGGUACCUUAACUUCUAAAUUUGUUAUAUAUACUUGUCCAUCAAAAUUUACAUACUUAUAUGAUUCAAUUUUAUGAGUAUUAGGCCUUUAUUUCUAAUCGAAGUUAUAUGACAUUCAUUAGCUCCUGUAUCUAUUAAUAUAUUUGGUCCGUUUAUAUUUUAUCUUCCAUUAUAAUAUUCUUCUUCUAUUUUCAUGUUUCCAACAUUUCUAUACAAUUUUAUCUCUUUUAUUUUAUUGAUUUCUUCUAACUGGUUUUUAUUAGGUAUUUUAAAACUUUUUGAUCUUUUAAUUAAUUUUUCAUCCUUAAAUAUAAUAUUAUUAGAACAUUCUCAUUCAUUUAAUUCUGUUAUUUCAAAUUUAUUUUUUGUUAUAUUAAAUUCAUAUUCCUUUGAAAUUAAACUUAUUUGUUUAUUUGGUUCUAUUAUUUUACUAAUAUCUAUAUAUUCUUUAUGAAUUUCAAUAUAUGGUUUAUUGGAAUAAAUAUUUCCAUAAUUAGAAUUAGUAAAUGUAUAUAAGGCUCUAUAUUUUAUAGUCAUAAUUUGAUCACUUGGUUGCAUGAUAACAUCCCUAUGAAAUUUAAAAUGUAGUCCUAAAACUUCAUUAAAAUUUCUAUCUUUUAGCGAUACACAAUAUUUUGGAUAACAUGUAAACAUAAUUUUUUAAUAUGCUAAAUUUCUUUCUAUUGUUCCUAAAUGACUAUUUUUUAAGUUCAUUAUUCUUCCAUCAUGUAAAGUUAUAGUUAAGGGUGAAUCUAUCACUUCUUUAAAUAGUGAUUUAAAUAUUAUUUGUAUUCCUUCUAAAUAAACAUAUUGAAUUUUUUCAUUUUAUUUUUUGCUAAUCUUUGUUAAUACUUUCUAUUUGUAUUCCUUCAUAUUCUUAUAUAUUUAUGUUAUUACUUUCUAUUUCUUCAAUUUCUUUAUUCAGAUCCUGAUUCAUCAUCUAUUUCAUUUAUAUAUACUUAUUAAUUAUAAUAUUCUUUAAUAUCUAAUAUUUUACUUAAUUCAUCUUUUAUCUUUAAGUAUUCUUUUUGUAAUAUUCUAACUUUUUUUUAUCACAAUCAGGGCUUAUAUGACCUAUUUCUCCACAAUUUCAACAUUUACAUUGACUUUUAUUUUUCUUUUUAUUAUUCUAUUGAUUAUAUGAGUUAUUUUUUCUUUUGUAAUACAUUCUCCUAGGUUUUAUAUAUUUUUUAUUAAAAUUUCUAAAUUUUUUAAACUUUUUAUUUUGAUACUUUCUUCUUUCAAGAUUACAUCUCCAUUGCACAGGAGUUUCCAUAUUUUCACAACAUAUUUUAGUUAAUUUUCCUGAUUUUUUCAUUAAUUGUCUUUGUUGACAUAUAUAUGCAAGUCUUUCAAAUAAAAUUUUUAUUUUUGAACCUAAAGUUCUAGGUAUUCCAGUAUUAUUUCUAACAUAUUUUUCAAAUUUUAUUUUAAAAUAUAUUCCCCAUGAACCCGGUAAUUUAUUAUAAUACAUGUUUUGGUAUACUUCUUAAUUUUCAUUACUAUAAAAUUGAAUAUAAUAGUAAUUUUUAAAUUCACAAGUAUAUUCUUUAAUUUUACACAUAUCACAUAUUGUUAAAUUUAUUAAUUUUAUUCUAACAUUAUCUUCUUCUCUUAUUGAUUCUUUUUCAACAUUUCUUAUCCAAUUUUCUCCUAAAAAUUUAUAUGAAAUAUGUUCUACUAAUUUUUCUAUACAUUGUCUAUCUGAUUUGAUUAUUUCUGUUUGUACAUUUCUUUUUAUUAAUAUUUUUGUAUCAUUACUUAUUCCUUCCUACCAAUUCCUAGCAUCUCCUUUAAAGGAUGCUAUUAAAAAAUAUAUUCUUCUUUCAAUAUUUUCCCAUGUAUCAUCUUUGUUAUAUAAAAAGAAUAAUAUCAUUGAAUCUGUCCAGGUUAAUAAGAGUUUUUUAGUAUCCAUUUUACAAUUUAAAUCUAGUUUUAUUCCUCCAUGAUUAAUUGGUUUAUCAUAAUUAUCAUUUAAUUCAAACAUAUCUUUAUAUUUAUUUCUUUUAGGUGGUUGUCUAUCGCUUACUUUAUCAUAGAAUUAUCUAUAUGGUUUAUUUUAUAUAAGUGCAUAGCUUUCAUCUGUAUCAUGUAAUUCUUGUUUAGAGGUUUCUAUUAGAUUAGGUCCUCCUCCAGUAUUCAUUAAAACUUGAUAUUCACUUAUAUCAGUUAGGCUUAAUUGAUCAAAAUUUUCUAUUAGCAAAUCUAAUUCUUCACUCAUUUUCUUUUUCUUCUACUUUAAUUUACUUAAUGAUUUUUCUCUAAAUUUUUCUUCCUCUUCUAAUAUCUUUAGUAAUAUAUUCUUUCUAAAUUCAUCAUCCAUACUUCCUGUUUAUAUUACUAUAUUUUCUUUUUUCUAUAUGUUUCUUUCCUAUUCGAGUCAUCUCUUUUUUUAUAAGUUUUUUUUAUCUAUUUUCUUAUCUUUAUUCUUAUUAUUUUCUUUUAAUUCUCUAAUUUCAAUUUUUAAUAUAUUUAUAUCAUUUCUUGUUUCUUUUACUUCAUUUCUCAAAUCUUGUAUAUCAUUUAUUAACAUUUUUAUUAAUGAUUUUAAUUCUUCCAUAUAUUCACUUAUUGACAUCUUAAUUUUUUCUUAUUUCUAACUCGUAAGUUAAUUUGCAUCUUUUAUCUUCUUUUUUAUCUAUUAUUUUUCUGAAUAUUCUCUCAGCUAUUUCUCGAUCUACUAAUUAUUCUUUUACUAUAGUAAAGUAUUUGCUCUCAAGUCUUAAUCUUUCGCAUUUUAAUUUUAAUAAUUAUUAUUUGAUAUUCUCAUUCCUUCUGGUAUUAACAUUAUAUUUCGUAUUUCCUCUAGUAUUUUUUUCAUUUUUAUAAGUAAUUUAUUUAAUUUUAAAUGUGUAUUAUUACUUGUACUCAUACUUUUCCUUAUAAUAUAAAUUAUUUUCUUCAUUUUCAUAUAUAUUAAUAAUUUUUUCAUAUGUAUAUAUAUCUUUUAUUUUUUCUAUUAUUAAUUUUUCUGAUAUUUGUUCCUUUAUUUCUCUAGGAAGUUCUUUAAUUAUUGUUAAAGUCAUCAUUUUUAAUCUAUUAGAAUAUGUUUUAAAAAUAUAUAACUACCUUUUUCUUCUUUUAAACACUAAUAAUUAUUUAUUUUUCUUAUUUUUAUUUCCAUGAUCUCUAUGACUCUGAUACCAAUAAAGGGGGGAGGGUGCUACUUAGAGCGAACAAAAAUCAAAUAAAUCUAAUAAAUCGGUAAUCUAUUAAAAUUUAAGCAGUGUUUAAUUUUUCAAGGACUAAAAUGAAAGAUUUCUGUUUUUCAUUAACUUAUUAUGUAAUAUUAUAAAAGGGGGGUAUUUUGGGUAUCAAAAUUAGCCAAAGGUUAUUUUGGAAAAUGGCUUAUUUGUUUGGGUCAUUUCUAUGUAUUUCCCCCUUUUAAGUCGAUCAUGUCGAAUUAUAAAAUUUUGUGGGUCAAUGAAUUUUGAAUUUGUGAUAGUUUUUUAUUCAAUUAAUUUUAUGAAUAUGUAGUACAUUCCAGAAGAGUGCCAGAAGUUUUCCUUUUAUCUAUUUUUGAUUAGAUACAAAAAAAGUUACGUAAAUAUAUUCAAUUUUAUUUUCUUGUAUCAUCUCAAAUAUAAUAUUAAUUCGAACAAUUAUCUUUAAAAUUAAGAAAAUUCCUUUUGAGUUUAUUGGAAUAAAAUAUUAAAUACGUCAUAACUAUAUAAUCUUGUAUUAUUUGAUAAAAUAAUACUGACUCUUUCAAAGCAUUUAACCAUAUUUAAUGUACCUAAUAUUGUGUUAACAUUAUUUUCUAUUUUUGUUAAUUUUAAAAAGUACUUGGAGAUUUGUGCGCGUAGUUGUACUAUUUGCUAAGCAAAUAUCUCGAUAAUUCAUCUUAAAUUUUAUUUAUAUUUCAAGAUUUUUACUUUGAGAGCAAUAAUUUAAUAUACUUCGAGAAUAUUAAAACACAGAAUGUUAUGCCCUUUAGGAGUAAUAAUUAAUAUUCUUCAUGAAUGUUGUUAUUUAUUAAAAAAUUGCAACCCAAUAUUGGGUUGUUUAAUUUAUGCUUCUUUGGAAACAUCAACAAGUUAUUAUUAACCAUAUAACAUUUGCUCUUUAGAAGCAAUUACAUAAUAUUAUUAUAAAAUAAUUGAUAUUGUAAAAUUGUGCCACUAGAGAGCAAGAAAUAUUAUAUUGAAUAUUAACCUAACAUAAAAUUGUGUUACGUAUAGCAAUAAAAUAUUUUUCGAUAAGAUUUUUCUAAAAUAAACAACUUACAAUCAUAAAAUUUUUAUAAAGAUCUUAACUCUUGAUGAGAUCAAAUCGUAUAGCUUUAUUAGAGAUGAAAUUUGAAUUAAGUCAUCUAUUUAUUAGACAUUAAUGCCAUUUAAGUUGAAAGUUUUAUAUUUAGAUGCAACUACAUUACAAUUUAUAGAAUGCAUUGGAGAUGCUUUUAUUUUACUCUAGACAAUGUGAUAGUGAUCUCACUGCUUAAUGAACAGAAUAAUAAUGUUCACUUUUUUUAUUUUUAAAAAAGAACUCAUUGACUUUAACCAAACAUUGUAAUUAAAAGUACUUUUACCUUCCAAAAUGUGCUUUUGAACUUCUUAAAUGCAUUCUCAAACACAAAAAGAAUGAAUGGGUGCACCCCUUUGCAUCUAGGGGUUGGUAUCAAUUCUCUCAUUUUUUAACAUGUCAAUCUUUCAAAUAAAUAUUUUUCUUCACGUAUUUUGUUAGAUCCACAAUUACUACACAUUUGUCCAUCAAUCAUUUCUAUCUAUUUAUAAUAUACAUUUAAAAGUUACGAAUAUUCUGCAAAAGUUAGGGCUCGUGUGUAAUUUAUCUUGAUUUAUCAAACGAUGAAUAAUUUAAACUAUUUAUUUAAUUUUUUAUUCACUUUAUGAGUUAACAACAAAUCAUCAAGUACAAAGAAUCAACCUCGUGACAAAUAAAUUAUACGGGGAAAAAAAAAGGAAUAGGCUGGUGCUCGAGGCUAAGAUUGACCUCUUUGCAUCCAGAGCUUGAUUUCGAUUCAUUUUUUUGAUAGGUCAAUCUUUCAAAUAAAUGUUUCCUUCACACAUUUUGUGAUAUUUACAAAUACUAUCUAUUUAUUCGCAAAUAUUUUGAUAUGUUUAUAUAUAAACAUUUGUUAAACGUAUGCUUUAACAAUUUAAGGAUAUGGGUGUCAAACUUGCAAAAGUUAGGGACCUUGUGGAAUUUACCCUAAUUUUGGACAAUCUAAUUUUGAAAAAUUUAAAAUAUUUGUUCUAUUUUUUUAUUUCUACACCCUUCGCUUGCACCUUUCCAUUUAAAGAAAAAAAAAAUAAAAGAGAAAACAAAAGCUCGCCUCUUUAAUAGAGAUGUACCUGAAGAAGCCGUUCUGGAGCGACGGCUUGAACUCGUCGGAAUCGGAUGACGAGUCUCAAUCGCCGGUGAAGGAGCUGGUGAAAUCGUUAGACAAGCAA